This is a non-coding RNA of Oncorhynchus mykiss (rainbow trout), 900 nucleotides long. The record is from RefSeq and is a predicted model, not a curated record. NCBI's taxonomy places the organism in Eukaryota, Metazoa, Chordata, Actinopteri, Salmoniformes, Salmonidae.
GGUCUUCUGAUGUGAUUUAAUGACAUGGACUCAGAACAUCCAUUAUGACACCUCCACUGUGGGGCUCUAUAGGUCUUCUGAUGUGAUGUAUUGACAUGGACUCAGAACAUCCAUUAUGACACCUCCACUGUGGGGCUCUAUAGGUCUUCUGAUGUGAUUUAAUGACAUGGACUCAACCUAAUGUCGUUGUUUCUCUAUGAACAAUUCUAACCAUCAUUUAGGAGAGAAAAAACAGAUUUUAUAGCCCCCCUUAGAGUUGUUUAUGAAUGAACUGUUAUUUGACCAGGUAUAUUGACAGAAAACACAGUUCACUACUUUCUGAGUUGCAGGAAAGAGGAGAAUGUGCCUACAGUGAGGGGGAAAAGUAUUUGAUCCGCUGCUGAUUGUGUACGUUUGCCCACUGACAAAGAAAUGAUCAGUCUAAUUUUAAUGGUAGGUUUAUUUGAACAGUGAGAGACAGAAUAACAACAACAAAAAUCCAGAAAAAACGCAUGUCAAAAAUGUUAUUUGCAUUUUAAUGAGGGGAUCAAAUAGUUUUUUUCCUCACUGUAUUUGAAAGCUAGAAAGAAAUGAGUAGCUGAAGACAUCUCUAGCUCUUAUGCUAGAAAAGGUUGGAGACCCCUGCUCUAUGAUCAGCUAAUCUAGGAUGGGUGGAGUCUUCAUUUACAGUGGGAGGGGCUUUAUUUAUGACAUCACCCCCUGACUAAGCACUCGGCCAAUCCCCUUCUUCCCCUGGACAUGUUAUUAUUUUCUAACCUGUUAACAAACAUUCUGAACAGGAAACGUUGUGUAUUUACAUGACAUCAUCUGAAAACAAGUGAAACGCACAAAGAAGUGAAGCUGGAUGUACCGUUGCCAUGGGAAUUAUUGCUGAAUAAAUUGAGUCAAAAUGAGCUACUA